UACGAAGGGUGCAAACGUUGCUCGGAAUUAUUGGGCGUAAAGCGCACGUAGGCGGCUUGGCAAGUCGGAUGUGAAAGCCCUCGGCUCAACCAAGGAAGUGCAUCCGAAACUGCUGAGCUUGAGUACUUAAGAGGAUCGCGGAAUUCCCGGUGUAGAGGUGAAAUUCGUAGAUAUUCGCAAGAACACCAGUGGCGAAGGCGGCUCACUGGCCCGGUACUGACGCUGAGGUGCGAAAGCGUGGGGAGCAAACAGG
Molecule: ribosomal RNA, 253 nt
Filed under: uncultured bacterium
Lineage: Bacteria
Description: partial 16S ribosomal RNA
Rfam family: Bacterial small subunit ribosomal RNA
Source: RNAcentral